CCCUGCCGCCUACGUACAACAACAACAACUGCUUUCAUCUAGCCCGCUCGCUGUGGGCAAUGCACCUACAUACCUGCAACAACAAUUGUUGCAACAGAUUGUACCAGCUCUGACUCAACUAGCUGUGGCAAACCCUGUUGCCUACUUGCAACAGCUGCUUCCAUUCAACCAACUGACUCUGUCGAACUCUGCUGCGUACCUACAACAGCGACAACAGUUACUUAAUCCAUUGGUAGUGGCUAACCCAUUGGUCGCCGCCUUCCUACAGCAGCAACAAUUGCUGCCAUACAACCAGUUCUCUUUGAUGAAUCCUGUCUUGUCGAGGCAGCAACCCAUCGUUGGAGGUGCCAUCUUUUAGAUUACAUAUGAGAUGUACUCGAUAAUGGUGCCCUCAUACCGACGUGUGUUUCCUAGAAAUAAUCAAUAUAUUGAUUGAGAUUUAUCUCGAUAUAUUUCUGAACUAUGUUCAUCAUAUAAAUAAUUGAAAACAUCAAAUCGUAAUUAUAAACUCAUGCUUGGUCAAUACAUAGACAAUGCGAUAUUACUUCAGCAUCCCAAUGAUGUCCUAGCCCAACCUCUUGAAUGUUACUGUUUUAAUGUGUGACGGUAUAUUUAUAAGAUAGACGUGACUAUUUGCGCUUUUUUGAGUACAUACAUAUAUGGUAUGUUGAUUUGAUAUAGUGAUGGACACAUGCUUAACCAUUAAUAUUCAAAUCAGUUGUACUUGCAUGGAGCAAAACAUAAUAUAAGUUUAGGAGUACACUUAUAACUGUGUCCAAACAUGCUCACACAAAUUCAUACCACAUUAUAAUGUUUUGGUAAAUAUUCCACACAUGUAUUUUUUACAACUCAAUUUUGCAGACAAAUGCAGCAUUGUAGACAUGUAGAAUUCUUUGAAGCCCGUGAACUAACAACACCAAGGUCAUUAAAUCAACCGGACCCUAUGAGUAACAAUUUCGAUAUUGCAAACACCAAAUUAUAGAACUUAUUGGCUGAAAAAAUUAUGAGCAAUGUGAAGUUUAAAUUAUUAUACCAUAAAUAUAUCAAAGAACUUUUUUUGAGGAACGUAAAAAUUGCAUGGAAUGGGCAGCCCAACAUGCUAGCUCACUUCUAUGCUAGGUAGCAUUACCAAAGAUGAAAAUGUUGCUGAUGAACGCCAAACCCACUCAAAUAAUAUUUAUAUUUGGGUUGUUUAGUUGUAAAAGUGAAGACCCAAGAUAAAAGUACCAAUUGUCCAAUGACAUUCAAUUAUUUUGUUCGGGGAGCACUUGGUGCGUCAUUUGGACUCAUAUCUUAGUCCAAUAGAUUGCAUUUUCCUUCAAUUUGUAGAAUCCGACAAAGUGCAUGUUCUAAAAUUGUAAAUCUAACUAAAUUAGAAAGCUUGUUACUAAUUUGAUGGUUUGUUAGGUGUAGCUCGUAAAACUAGAACCAACAUAGCUUGCACUCACAUGUCAAAGGAAAUUGGAGUAUCCAAGCACAAUUUGUGUGAGCAUCCAUGACACUGUUAUAAAUGAAUGCGACACAAAUAGGAUCAAUCACAGAGAAGACACGAAUUUAACGUGGAAAACCCCUCCAAAGUGAAGGGGAAAAAACCACGGGCGCCGGCCGGCAACUUCUCACUAUUUUUGGGUGGUUACAGAUCGCAGGAGAUUUACAAUUGAGAUAGAUAUCUCCUGCGGCUUACAAAGAUAUUUAUAGAGGUGAAACCCUAAAACGAUCGCCUCCCGGCGACGGGCCUCCGCUUCGCUCGCCAACUUGGCCGCCUUCUUCAGAAUUUGGAUCACAAACUCAACAAACUCCACCUUGAGACAAAUACCUUGUAGCAUCAUAAUAGCAACCUCCACCUUAAACAAAUGCAUCAUCAUCUUGCCGGCGCCAACAGCCACUAAGGGCUAAUUUAUAAUACCAACUAAGUUUGAGCAUAGCUCAAACUUAGCAACAGAAACAUGCUUCGUCAUCACAUCAGCUGGAUUAUUAUCAGUACUGAUCUUGCAUACCUUCACCAACCCUUUUUCAAUGAUAUCACGAAUGAAGUGAUAACGAAUAUCAAUAUGUUUGGAUUUCUCAGUAAUCAUCUGAUCUUUGGUGAGAUGAAUGGCACUCUGGCUAUCACAAUAGAUGGUAAUGCAAGACUUAAUUCCACAUAGCUCUGAAUAUAUACCUUUCAACCAUAAGGCUUCCUUAGUAACUUCUGCAAUUGCCAUAUAAUCAGCUUCUAUGGUAGACAAAGCAACAGUAUCCUGUAAACGAGCUUUCCAACUCACAGCACAAUCUCCAAUAGUAAAGACAUAACCUGAAAGAGAUCUCCUCCUGUCUAAAUCACCACCAUAAUCUGAAUCAACAUAGCUAAUCAGCCCAUCUCCAGAUUUACCAAAACAUAAACAAGCACUAGAAGAACCACGUAGAUAUCUGAAAAUCCACUGAACAGCUUUCCAAUGCUCUUUACCAAGAUUAGACAUGUAUCUAGCAACAACGCUCGUAGCAUGAGACAAAUCAGGACGAGAACAAACCAUAGCAUACAUGAGUGACCCAACAACACUAGAGUAUGGAACUUUUGACAUAUAUUCAAGCUCAGCAUCAGUUUCAGCACACUGUUUAGCAGACAGUUUAAAAUGAGGAGCCAACGGAGUACUCACAGGUUUAGUAUUUUGCAUGUUGAAACGACGAAGGACCUUCUCAAUAUAAUUCUUCUGGCUCAAGUACAGCAGUCCAGACUUCCUAUCCCUGACUAUCUCUAUGCCAAGGAUUUUCUUUGCAGCACCCAGAUCCUUCAUAUCAAAUUCGCUACUAAGUUGUGCCUUUAAAGCAGUGAUUUCCUUCAUGCUCUUGGCAGCAAUCAACAUAUCAUCAACAUAUAGCAGCAAAUAUGUAGGUGAUCCAUUAACAAAUUUUAGAUAAACACAACUAUCAUAUUGAGACUUCUGAAAGCCCUUAGAAAGCAUAAAUGAAUCAAACCUCUUAUACCAUUGUCUGGGAGAUUGUUUCAGACCAUAUAAGGACUUCUUCAAGCUGCACACAUAGUCUUCUUUUCCAGGAACAAUGAACCCCUCUGGCUGGUCCAUAUAAAUGUCUUCCUCCAAAUCACCAUGUAAGAAAGCAGUUUUCACAUCUAACUGUUCAAGCUCAUAGUCAUGUAUAGCAACAAGACUAAGAAAGGUACGAAUUGAACUAUGCUUGACAACAGGAGAAUAGACAUCAGAGUAAUCAAUUCCUGGAAUCUGACUAAAACCUUUUGCAACUAGCCUUGCUUUAAAGCGCGGAGGCUCUUUUGGAGUCAUACCUUCUUUUCUUUUGAAGAUCCAUUUGCACUUAAUUGCCUUUUUACCAGAAGGCAGCCGAGCUAGUUCCCAAGUGCCAUUCUUAUCAAGAGACUCCAUUUCUUCAUGCAUAGCACCCAUCCACUUUUCACUAUCAGUAGACAAUAUAGCUUCUGAAUAAUUCAAUGGUUCCUGAAUAUUAUCAACUUCUUCAGCAACAGCCAAAGCAAAAGCAACAUUGCACUCUUGAAUCAGUCUUUGGGGCCGAACUAUCUGCCUCCUAGUUCGGCCUUCAGCAAGAGACUGGGGAUGAGACUCCACAACAGGUGAUGAAAUUUCAGAAACAGAAUUUUCAGCAGGUUCAGCAGAUGGUGGAGCAUGAUCAUCAACAUCCCCCCCCCCCCCCGUGCUCCACCUGCACACUGAUAGACUCAGAAUUCUGGUUAGUAGCACUGGUAGAUACAACCGAAGGGAACAUAGCAGAUUCAUUGAACACAACGUUUCUACUAAAAAAUGCCUUCUGUGUAUCAGGAUUCCACAAUUUAUAUGCUUUAACACCAGAUCCAUAACCCAAGAAAACACACUUAAUUGCUCUAGGCUCAAGUUUACCAUUAUCAACAUGUGCAUAUGCAGUACAACCAAACACUCUCAACUGAGAAUAAUCAUAGGGGGAACCAGACCAAACCUCAAUUGGAGUUUUCUUAUCGAUAGCAGUGGAUGGUGAACAAUUGAUCAAAUGACAAGCAGUGGAAGCGGCCUCAGCCCAAAACUUUCGGCUCAAACCUAAGUUGGACAACAUACACCGAGCCUUGGAGAUUAUUGUUCUAUUCAUACGCUCUCCCACACCGUUCUGCUGAGGCGUAUAUGGUAUAGUGUGGUGCCUCACAAUGCCCUCCUUCCUGCAGAAAGAGUUAAAAUCACCAGAACAAAACUCCAUACCAUUGUCAGUUCUCAGAACCUUCAGCUUCCUCUCAGUCUGCUUCUCAACCAUAGUCUUCCAAACCUUGAAAGACUCAAAGGCAUCUGAUUUUUGCUUAAGAAAAUAAGGCCAAACUCUGCGUGAAUUAUCAUCAAUGAUAGUCAACAUGUAACGAGCACCACCAUGUGAAGGUAUACGUGACGGCCCCCACAAAUCAGCAUGAACAUAAUCAAGAAUAUUUUCUGUAUUAUGAACAGCAGAACUGAAUUUUACCCUUUUAUGCUUACCGAAAACACAGUGCUCACAAAAAUCAAGAGUAUCAGCAUGGCAACCAUCAAGAAGGCCUCUCUUGCUCAAUUCUGCCAAACCAGGUGCACUCAUAUGGCCAAGUCGCAUAUGCCAAAUUUUAGUAGUCUCAGAAUCAGAUGCAACAACAGCAUUAGCAGAGCCAGAACUACCUCGAAGCACAUAUAAGUUUUCAGCUUUCAAAUCACCUUUAAUAACCACAAGAGAGCCUUUUGUUACCUUUAUGACACCGUCACCGGCGGUAUACUUGUAGCCCUUUGUGUCCAGAGUACUCAGAGAGAUGAGGUUCCUGGACAUGGAUGGAACAUGUCGUACUUCAGUCAAUGUGCGUACAAUCCCAUCGAACAUCUUGAUCUGCAGGGUGCCCAUGCCAACAACAGUGCAAGGGGAAUUAUCACCCAUCCGAAGAGUACCUCCGUUCUGCACAGCUUCAUAGGUACUAAACAGAGAUUUUUUAGUGCAAACAUGAUACGAGCAAGCAGAAUCGAGGAUCCAUUGGGCAUCAUCAGCAGCACAACCAGCAAAGGCAAUAAGAACAUCACCAUUAUCAGAAUUAUUUUCGGAUGCAACAGAGACAGUACCUCCAGUCUUACCCUUCUCCUUGUUCCUCUUCUCCUUGUUCUGCAGUUUGUAACAGUUCUCAAUUACAUGGUUCGUCUUCUUGCAGUAUUUGCAAAAAAAUUCAUCAGAUGGCCCCCUUGACUUGGAGCGACCCCUCUGGUUCUUCCCCUUUCCUUUGCCACCUGAGUUGUACUUUUUCUGAUCAGUGCGGCCACGGACAUACAAAGCUUCUCCACUCGAGCCAGCAGCAUCUUCCGAGUUAACCAUCUGUCUCAUCUUUUCUUUCGCAGUCAAAGCUUCAUACACUUCAGCCACGGUUAGAGUAUCACGAUUGUAUAGGAUGGUAUCUCGAAAAUUGCUAAACGAUGCAGGGAGGGAACACAGGAGAAGAAGAGCUAGGUCUUCAUCAUCAAACUUUACCUCCAUAGACGUCAGAUCGGCCACGAUCUCCUUAAACACCGAUAUGUGCGUCAGAACGGAUCCUCCUUCCUGCAACUUGUGGGAGAACAACUUCAUUUUGACAUGCAUCUUGCUGGUCAGAUCCUUUGACAUACAGAUCGACUCCAGCUUCAACCAGAGAGCAGCGACAGUUUUCUCCGCCAGAACCUCCUGCAGAAUAUUGUUAGACAGAUGAAGGUGAAUAUGUGCGAGCGCCUUACGAUCCUUGCGCCUCUCCUCAUCAGUCCACGUCCUGGCAUCCUUGUUGCCAAAUCCAUCUAGGGCAUCAUCCAGGUCGCGAUCAGAUUGCGAGAGAAUUGCCCGCAUCUUCACCUGCCACAGCGAGAAACGCGUGUCGAGAUCCAGCAGUGGAAGAUCGUACUUCAUUGUCGUCGACAUCCGUGCGCCGGCAGGAAACCCUAGCACACCGAUCAACAAACAACCAAAGCUCCGAUACCACUUGUUAUAAAUGAAUGCGACACAAAUAGGAUCAAUCACAGAGAAGACACGAAUUUAACGUGGAAAACCCCUCCAAAGUGAAGGGGAAAAAACCACGGGCGCCGGCCGGCAACUUCUCACUAUUUUCGGGUGGUUAUAGAUCGCAGGAGAUUUACAAUUGAGAUAGAUAUCUCCUGCGGCUUACAAAGAUAUUUAUAGAGGUGAAACCCUAAAACGAUCGCCUCCCGGCGACGGCCUCCGCUUCGCUCGCCAACUUGGCCGCCUUCUUCAGAAUUUGGAUCACAAACUCAACAGACACAAAUUAUAUAUAGACUGAUAUAAUUAAUUCCUUCAAAAAUAAAAAAAGGAAAAAAUAAAUUGUUUUUUGAUACUGCAGGAUAUCUCUUUAGCUAAUGAGGAGUACUAAAAAUAUGUUGCACUUUUGGGUGGCAAGAAUUCCUCAAUCAUAACUUUGACAUAAUUUUAAUCCGGAUCACAUAUAUAUCAUCAUAUCUUAAUUAUUAAAUUAAUAUGGUUGCAUCAUCGUAUUAUUAAUUCAAUCCGAUAUAACCAUCAGAGCUUAAUUAUUUAAUUAAUCUAGAGCGUACAUUAGAUUAUCAAACCAAAUCAACCUGACAUAACCAUCGAAUGUUCCGCUAUGCACCUUAAGCGCAUGGUCUGGGGCUUAAUCAUCCGGAAUAACCAUCCAAUCUUCUGGUAAGCAUAGUAAGCGUAUGGUUCACGGCUUCGUCAUCCGGAAUAACCAUCAGAUUUUCCGGCAUGCAAUGAAAGCAAAUGAUUCGUGGUUUUUGUAGGGGAAACGUUGUUAGGUGAAUGCGGAUGCUGGCUGAUGUUGCACGUGCGAACUGUUGUGUGGAAGCUGCUAGGUCCUCCUCUAUUGUGUGUGGCUUGUGGCGGGCUUGGACUGCUCUCAUGGCUUCGGCGCUUGGAACUGCUCGUCCGUCUGGUCCUGCGUGCAUCUCUCUCUCUCUCCUGGCUGGAGGCGUGGUGGCCUGGCAGCUUCUCUGUGUUUUUCUUUUUACGACAGCUUCUCGUGUUAGCUAGGGUUAGCGUCAGGGGCCCGGUCAGCUAUGCUCCCUCAGCUUUUAUAGGCAUCGCACCACAGCAGGUAGAGCAGAGAUAAAGAUUCCAACCGCAUCCAUCUACAAACAAGGCUCUCGGCGGAAGGGAUAAAAGCAUGCAGCGCAAUUGCUGCUGCCGUGUUGUGGCCUUGACUCUCGUCAAUUGGAUGACCAAAAGAUGCCACCGUCGCAGCUGCCUGUUUGUCACCAACACAAAAUUGUAGGUGCCUGUUUGUCACCAAUUAUCCUCUACCACAAAGAACUACAAUAGUGAUGGAGGAUCCGAUCCUGCACAGAUACACUAUAAUGCAUAGUGGGUGAUGCAUGCCUAAUGGUGGUUGUUUAGUGUUAGUUUGGGCAUGUUGGAACUAAGCAAUUGUCGAUGCCAUACGCUAGAAGUGAAGAAUGUUGUUACCGUUAGGAGUAGAGGUGUCAAUGGGGUCUGAUACCCGUUAAGCCAUGGAGAAUUUAUCUAAUAGAUUUAGGGUAUGGGAAGAUUUUAAUUUCCAUUUGUUGAAGUUAGGUAUACAUCUAUUUGAAUCGACAGUUACAAUUCAAUGUUUGUCAUUAAAUAUUCCACACAUGUAUUUUUUACAAGAACCCAAAUUUUGUAGACAAAUGCAGCAUUGUAGACAUGUAGAAUUCUUUGAAGCCCGUGAACUUAACAACACCAAGGUCAUUAAAUCAACUGGACCCUAUGAGUAACAAUUUCGAUAUUGCAAACACCAAAUUAUAGAACUUAUUGGCUGAAAAGUUAUGAGCAAUGUGAAGUUUAAAUUAUUAUACCAUAAAUAUAUCAAAGAACUUUUUUGAGGAACGUAAAAUUGCAUGGAAUGGGCUACCCAACGUGCAAGCUCACUUCUAUGCUAGGUAGCAUUACCAAAGAUAGGAAUGUUGCUGAUGAACGCCAAACUGAAAGUUCCCUUUGCUCGGGAACAGGAUCUGGAUGUCGCCUAGAGGGGGGUGAAUAGGCGAAUAAUAAUUAUCACUUUGAAGACUUAAAUUCUUACUCUACUUGAAGACCAGAUCGUAGUGGAAUGAAAGACCCUUCGAGUCGGUUGCAGCGGAAUAGAAGAUCCUGUCUCAAAAUGCCCUGCACUUCAAAUAUAACUUGAACCACAGAUAAGUAUUGAAGUGUAGAUAUAAAGAGUAGAUAAGACAGAGGAUCAACACACAACACAGAGCAGAGCACAUAGACGCAGGAUUUUAUCCCGAGGUUCGGCCAAGCCUGAGAUGCUUGCCUAGUCCUCGUUGGAGUUAGCCACACCUGGGCUUGGAGUCUAUUUCAACUCCUUCCUCCGUUUGCUCAGAUCUAUCAGUAUGACAGAUAGAGCCUUUCACUAUGUUGAGUUCGGUUACAACAACGCCGUGGCUGCUUACAGUCUUCUUGACAGCACUCCGGUAGAGUAACAAUGCGCUCAAGACUUUGCUCUAGCUCUUUGCAGCACCUCUCCACUCUCUAAAGGCUUAUAACUUUGCCUUCACACAAACUAGAGAGAUAUACAUUAGAGUGAGAGAGAGAAUCGAUCUGAGUGAUGUAUACAAUUGUUGGUUGCACUUGUGUGCUUGUUGGAGGCGCCUAGGAGUCCCUUUUAUAGACCCAAGGGGCCUAGGAGCCGUUGGAAUUCAUUUUGGAAGACAAUAUUUGCUUUCUAUCGGGUAGCAUGUCCAGUGCACGAUCUCCUUCCAAAACAAGCUCAACUGACCAUUGGAGCAACGUUUGACUUGGCUCACCGGACACUGUCCGGUGCACACCGGACAGUCCGGUGCGCCAACUAUCCGUUGGCCCAAGCCACACGUCGCCCGCUGAUCGCGCUGCCGACCGUUGGCUCACCGGACAGUCCGGUGAAUUAUAGCCGUACGUCACCAAACUUCUCCCGAGAGCGGCCUGUUCACCGGAGUUCAGUCUGGCGCACCGGACACAGUCCGGUGUGCCAGACUGAGCAGAGACAUGGUUGUACAUAGCCAAGUCUUUUGCAUCUCUUUUCUUUUCUUCUUUUCUCUGUUUCUAACACUUAGACAAAUAUAUUAGUACACACAAACCAAUGUACUAAGUCUAGAAACAUACCUUCUCUUUGAUUUUCACUUCUUCAGCAUUUGGCAUAAUUGAGAUUGAUGUUGGACUCAUAAAUCAUCAAGUCAACUUUACUUGAUCUAGAUUGACAUUUCUGAGCUCCAACAUCCUGCAAAGGUCACAUAGAAUAUCUUCAAACUAGGAACAACCCAAACUAGAGAUCAAGGUGCACUAAGCUCUUUUGGGCUUCUUCCAGUUAUGGUUUUGACACAGCUUCUCCUUUCAGUGACCUUGUUCACUUCUUGAGCUUGAUCUUGAGCCUUAUGACUUAAGCCACAUAAUUGUAGAUGUUACCUCAUUGGUUGUAAGUCAUGUCCUUAUGUAGUGUUCACUGAUGCACCAUAACUUUUCUUAACUCGAUCAACCUUGAUUCCGCAAGUCUUCUUCUUCACCCCUGGCCUUGGGUUCCUGGUCUCCUUGACUUUCUCCCAUGCACUCGGUACCUCGAAGCUCUUCUUGCUUCCAUCCUUGGCUUGAUCGGUUGUCUCUGAGUUAUGCACCUCGAGUCACACUUAAGCAAUGCCCAUCCUUCUUGUGAUGUCCAUUAUCUAUAAAUAGUUCAGUCUUUGGACCAUCACACUUGUUCACUUGUGUUGGACCAUAUUAGCUUUACAUAAAGCACCUAUUCAACACUUAGCACACUUGUUAGUCCUUUAAUUGGGUUGUCAUCUAAACACCAAAACUCACAAGAGAGCUUUCACAAACCCACUCAAAUAAUAUUUAGAUUUGGGUUGUUUAGUUGUAAAAGUGAAGACCCAAGAUAAAAGUACCAAUUGUCCAAUGACAUUCGAUUAUUUUGCUCGGGGAGCACUUGGUGCGUCAUUUGGACUCGUAUCUUAGUCCAAUAGAUUGCAUUUUCCUUCAAUGUGUAGAAUCUGACAAAGUGCAUGUUCUAAAAUUGUAAAUCUAACUAAAUUAGAAAGCUUGUUACUAAUUUGAUGGUUUAUUAGGUGUAGCUCAUAAAACUAGAACCAACAUAGCCUGCACUCACAUGUCAUAGAAAAUAGGAGUAUCCAAGCACAAUUUGUGUGAGCAUCCAUGACACAAAUUAUAUAUAGACUGAUAUAAUUAAUUCCUUAAAAAAAGAAAAAGGAAAAAAUAAAGUGGUUUUUGAUACUGCAGGAUAUCUCCUUUAGAUAAUGAGGAGUACUAAAAAGAUGUUGCACUUUUGGGUGGCGAGAAUUCCUCAAUCACAUAUAUAUCAUCAUAUCUUAAUUAUUAAAUUAAUAUGGUUCCAUCAUCGUAUUAUUAAUUCAAUUUGAUAUAACCAUCAUAUCUUAAUUAUUAAAUUAAUCUGGAGCGUAGAGUAGAUUAUCAAACCAAAUCAACCCGACAUAACCAUCGAAUGUUCUGCUAUGCACAAUAAGCGCAUGGUCCGGGGCUUAAUCAUCUGGAAUAACCAUCAGAUCUUCUAGUAUCUUCUAGUAAGCAUAGUAAGCGUAUGGUUCACGGCUUCGUCAUCCGGAAUAACCAUCAGAUUUUCCAGUAUGCACUGAAAGCAAAUGAUCUGGGGUUUUGGUAGGUGAAACGUUGUUAGGUGAAUGCGGAUGCUGGCUGCUGUUGCACGUGCGAACUGCUGUGUGCAAGUUGCUGGAUCCUCCUCUAUUGUGCGUGGCUUGUGGCGGGCUUGGACUACUCUCAUGGCUUCGGCUCUUGGAACUGCUCGUCCGUCCUGCCCUGCGUGCAUCUCUCUCUCUCCUGGCUGGAGGCGUGCUGGCCUAGUGGCUUCUCUGUGUUUUUCUUUUUACGGCGGCUUCUCAUGUUGGCUAGGGUUGGCGUCAGGGGCCCGGUCAGCUAUGCUCCCUCAGCUUUUAUAGGCAACGCACCACAGCAGGAAGAGCAGAGAUAAAGAUUCCAAGUGCAUCCAUCUACAAACAAGGCUCUCGGUGGAAGGGAUAAAAGCAUGCAGCGCAAUUGCCGCUGCCCUGCUGCAGCCUUGACUCUCGUCAAUUGGAUGACCAAAAGAUGCCACCGUCUAAGCUCUUUUCUUUUGUGCAGCUGCCUGUUUGUCACCAACACAAAAUUGUAGGUGCCUGUUUGUCACCAAUUAUCCUCUACCACAAAGAACAACAAUAGUGAUGGAGGAUCCGAUCCGGCGCAGAUCCACUAUAAUGCAUAGUGGGUGAUGCAUGCCUAAUGGUGGUUGUUUAGUGUUAGUUUGGUCAUGUUGGAACUAAGCAAUUGUCGAUGCCAUACACUAGAAGUGAAGAAUGUUGUUAGCGUUAGGAGUAGACGUGUCAAUGGGGACCGAUACCCGUUAAGCCAUGGAGAAUUUCUCUAUAAGAUUUAGGGUAUGGGAAGAUUUUAAUUUCCAUUUGCUGAAGUUAGGUAUACAUCUAUUUGAACCAACAAUUACAGUUCAACAGAAACUCCUUCCGCUCUAGUUUGUUGUGUGUCCUACCUUUUUCCUAAACUAGUUUUUCCUAAAUUGACAUACUCUCUAGAAAAUCUAUCCAAAUUUUGAAGAUCAAAUCUGUUCCAUUGAAUUAUUCAUGACAUAUAUCUUGGUAUUGCUUUUUGUCAUCAGAAUAUAUUUUGAACUCAUUAAAAGUUAUACACGAUUUUUUUAGACAAUACUAAAGCAAGAUGUAAUUAAGAACACUUGAGGUGUGCGCCAAUUGCCACAUUUAGAUAUAAUCAUUCAAAUUUUGGUCAUCAUAUGUGUGUGCAUUGAUCUAUGCAUUCUAGGAUUUCAAUUAGUCUCAAUCUUGUAGUAUUUGUUCCUUCAUUGUCAAAUCACUUCUCAUCUAACUACUAUGCUUGUUUAACCAUCAGAACAUAACUACAACAAUAUCCAUUUAUAAAGGUUUUGAUAGCAAACUUUACAUAUUCAUAUCAUGUUAAGGUUGUCACAUGUGUAAAGGUGAAGAGAUCAUGCAUGUCAUUCCACGUAGAUGAAAAGAAUUCCUAUAUAAAAUGACACCUUUUCUUGUAGGUAGUGGAAAGUAUCUUUCCAGCAAAGACCAUAUAAUCCGAUAAAGUUGAUAACUAAAUGUCAAAAUAGAGUAGAUGCCAUAUCAUCUAUACCUUAUCUGUUGUUUGGAAAAAGACUAAAUCCAAAAAAUAUAUAUGAGAUCUCACUUGUAUAAAUAGCUCCCAAAUCAGUAGUUAACCAUCACCCAUAAUAUUUUGAGCAUUCAGAAACACACCUAGCGAAGCGCACUAGCAACGACCUAACAACAAUGGCUACCAAGAUAUUAUCCCUCUUUGCGCUUCUUGCCCUUUUUGUGAGCGCAACAAAUGCGUUCAUUAUUCCACAAUGCUCACUUGCUCCUAGUGCCAUUAUUCCACAGUUCCUCCCUCCAGUUACUUCAAUGGGCUUCGAACACCCAGCUGUGCAAGCCUACAGGCUACAACAAGCGCUUGCGGCGAGCGUCUUACAACAACCAAUUGCCCAAUUACAACAACAAUCCUUGGCACAUCUAACCAUACAAACCAUCGCAACGCAACAGCAACAACAAUUUCUACCAGCACUGAGCCAACUAGCUGUGGUGAACCCUGUCGCCUACUUGCAACAGCAGUUGCUUGCAUCCAACCCACUUGCUCUGGCAAACAUAGUUGCAUACCAACAACAACAACAAUUGCAACAGUUUCUACCAGCGCUCAGUCAACUAGCCAUGGUGAACCCUGCCGCCUACCUACAACAGCAACAACUGAUUUCAUCUAGCCCUCUCGCUGUGGUUAAUGCACCUACAUACCUGCAACAACAGUUGCUGCAACAGAUUGUACCAGCUCUGACUCAGCUAGCUGUGGCAAACCCUGCUGCCUACUUGCAACAGCUGCUUCCAUUCAACCAACUGACUGUGUCGAACUCUGCUGCGUACCUACAACAGCGACAACAGUUACUUAAUCCACUAGCGGUGGCUAACCCAUUGGUCGUUGCCUUCCUACAGCAGCAACAAUUGCUGCCAUACAACCAGUUCUCUUUGAUGAACCCUGCCUUGUUGUGGCAGCAACCCAUCGUUGGAGGUGCCAUCUUUUAGAUUACAUAUGAGAUGUACUCGAUAAUGGUGCCCUCAUAGCGGCAUGUGUUUCCUAGAAAUAAUCAAUAUAUUGAUUGAGAUUUAUCUCGAUAUAUUUCUAAACUAUGUUCAUCAUAUAAAUAAUUGAUAAUUGAAAACAUCAAAUCGUAAUUAUAAACUUAUGCUUGGUCGAUACAUAAACAAUAAAAUAUUACUUCAUCAUCCCAAUGAUGUCCUAGCCCAACCUCUUGAAUGUUAUAGUUUGGGUGUGUGCGGGUGUAUUUAUAAGAUAGAUGUGACUAUUUGCGCUUUUUGUUGAGUACAUACAUAUAUGGUAUGUUGAUUUGAUAUAGUGAUGGACACAUGCUUUGACCAUGAAUAUUCAAAUCGGUUGUACUUGCACGAAGCAAAACAUAAUAUUAGUUUAGGAGUAAACUUAUAACUGCGUCCAAACAUGCUCACACAAAUUCAUACCACAUUAUAAUUUUUUGGUAAGUAUUCCACACAUAUUUUUUUACAAGAACCCAAAUUUUGCACACAAAUGUACCAUUCUAGACAUGUAUAAUUCUUUGAAGCCCGUGAACUUAACAGCACCAAGGUCAUUAAAUCAAUUGGACCCUAUGAGUAACAAUUUCGAUAUCGCAAACACCAAAUUAUGGAACUUAUUGGCUGAAAAAAUUAUGAUCAAUGUAAAGUUUAAAUUAUUAUACCAAAAAUAUAUCAAAGAACUUUUUUGAGGAACGUAAAAAUUGCAUGGAAUGGGCUGCCUAACGUGCUAGCUCACUUUUAUGCUAGGUAGCAUUACUAAAGAUGGGAAUGUUGUUGAUGAACGCCAAACCCACUCAAAUAAUAUUUAUAUUUGGGUUGUUUAGUUGUAAAAGUGAAGAUCCAAGAUUAAAAUACCAAUUGGCCAAUGCCAUUCGAUUGUUUUGUUUAGAGAGCACUUGGUGCGUCAUUUGGACUCGUAUCUUAGUCCAAUAGAUUGCUUUUUAUUUCAAUGUGUAGAAUCCGACAAAGUGCAUGUUCUAAAAUUGUAAAUCUAACUAAAUUAGAAAGCUUGUUACUAAUUCGAUGGUUUAUUACGUGUAGCUCAUAAAACUAGAACCAACAUAGGCUGCACUCACAUGUCAUAGAAAAUAGGAGUAUCCAAGCACAAUUUGUGUGAGCAUCCAUGACACAAAUCAUAUAUAGACUGAUACAAUUAAUUCCUUCAAGAAUAAAAAAGGAAAAAAUAAAGUGUUUUUGGAUACUGCUGGAUAUCUCCUUUAGCUAAUCAUGAGUACUAAAAAGAUGUUGCACUUUUGGGUGGCGAGAAUUCCUCAAUCAUAACUUUGACAUAAUUUUAAUCCAGAUCACAUAUAUAUAUCAUCAUAUCUUAAUUAUUAAAUUAAUAUGGUAUGCAUCAUUGGAUUAUUAACUCAAUCCGGUAUAACCAUCGGAUCUUAAUUAUUAGAUUAAUCUGAAGCGUACAUUAGAUUAUCAAACCAAAUCAACCCGAUAUAACCAUCGAAUGUUCCUCUAUGCACCUUAAGCGCAUGGUCUCAGGCUUAAUCAUCCGGAAUAACCAUCUAAUCUUCUGGUAAGCAUAGUAAGUGUAUGGUUCACGGUUUCGUCAUUCGGAAUAACCAUCAGAUUUUCCAAUAUGCACUGAAAGUGUAUGAUCCGGGGUUUUGGCAGGCGAAACGUUGUUACGUGAUUGUGAAUGCUAGCUGCAGUUGCACGUGUGAUCUACUGUGUGGAAGCUGCUGGGUCCUCGUCUGUUGCGUGUGGCUUGUGGCGGGCUUGGACUGCUCUCAUGGCUUCGGUGCUUGGUGCUGCUCGUUCGUCCGGUCCUACGUGCAUCUCUCUCUCCUGGUUGGAGGCGUGGUGGCCUGGCGGUUUCUCUAUGUUUUUCUUUUUGCUACGGCUUCUCGUGUUGGCUUGGCUUGGCGUCAGGGUCCCGGUCAGCUAUGCUCCCUCAGCUUUUAUAGGUACGCAGCACAACAGGCAGAGCAGAGAUAAAGAUUCCAACGGCAUCCAUCUACAAACAAGGCUCUCGGCAGAAGGGAUAAAAGCAUGCAGCGCAAUUGUCGCUGCCUUGCUGGAGCCUUGACUCUCGUCAAUUGGUUGAUCAAAAGUGGCCACUGUCUAAGCUAUUUUCUUUGUGCACCUGUUUGUUUGUAUCGAACACAAAAUUGUAGGUGCAUGUUUGUCACCAAUUAUCCUCUACUACAAAGAACUACAAUAGUGAUGGAGGAUCCGAUCCGGCACAAAUCCACUAUAAUGCAUAGUGGGUGAUGCAUGCCUAAUGGUGGUUGUUUAGUAUUAGUUUGGGCAUGUUAAAACUAAGCAAUUGUCGAUGUCAUACACUAGAAGUGAAGAAUGUUGUUAGCGUUAGUAGUAGAGGUGUCAAAUGGGACCGAUACCCGUUCAGCCAAGGAGAAUUUCUCUAUUAGAUUUAGGGUAUGGGAAGAUUUUAGUUUCCAUUUGCUGAUUUUAGGCAUACAUCUAUUUGAUUCAACAGUUACAAAUCAACAUAUACUCCUUCCGCUCUAGUUUGUUGCAUGUCCUACCUUUUUCCUAAAUCAGUUUUUCCUAAAAUGACAUACUCUCUAGAAAAUCUAUCCAAAUUUUGAAGAUCAAAUAUGUCCCAUUGAAUUAUUCAUAACAUAUAUCUUGGUAUUGCUUUUUGUCAUCAGAAUAUAUUUUGAACUCAGUAAAAGUUAUACACGAUUCUUUUUAGACAAUACUAAAGCAAGUUGUAAUCAAGAACACUUGAGGUGUGCGCCAAUUGCCACAUUUAGAUAUAAUCAUUCUAAUUUUGGUCAUCCUAUGUGUGUGCAUUCAUCUAUGCAUUCUAGGAUUUCAAUUAGUCUCAAUCUUGUAGUAUUUGUUCCUUCAUUGUCAAAUCACUUCUCAUCUAACUACUAUGCUUGUUUAACCAUCAGAACAUAAGUACAACAAUAUCCAUUUAUAAAGGCUUUUAUAGCAAACUUUACAUAUCAUAUUAUGUUAAGGUUGUCACAUGUGUAAAGGUGAAGAGAUCAUGCAUUUCAUUCCACGUAGAUAAAAAGAGUUCCUAUAUAAGAAUGGCACAUUUUCUUGUAGGUAGUGGAAAGUAUCUUUCCAGCAAAUACCAUAUAAUCCGAUAAAGAUGAUAACUAAAUGUCGAAAUCGAGUAGAUGCCAUAUCAUCUAUAUCUUAUCUGUUGUUUGGAAAAAAAGACAAAAUCCAACAAAAAUAUUCGAGACCUCACCUAUAUAAAUAGCUCCCAUAUCAGUAGUUAAUCCAUCACCCAUAAUAUUUUGAGCAUUCAGAAACACACCAAGCGAAGCUCACUAGCAACGACCUAACAACAAUGGCUACCAAGAUAUUAGCCCUCCUUGCGCUUCUUGCCCUUUUUGUGAGCGCAACAAAUGCGUUCAUUAUUCCACAAUGCUCACUUGCUCCUAGUGCCAUUAUUCCACAGUUCCUCCCACCAGUUACUUCAAUGGGCUUCGAACACCUAGCUGUGCAAGCCUACAUGCUACAACAAGCGCUUGCGGCGAGCGUCUUACAACAACCAAUUGACCAAUUGCAACAACAAUCCUUGGCACAUCUAACCAUACAAACCAUCGCAACGCAACAGCAACAACAGUUCCUACCAGCACUGAGCCAACUAGCUGUGGUGAACCCUAUCGCCUACUUGCAAUAGCAGAUGCUUGCAUCCAACCCACUUGCUCUGGCAAAUGUAGCUACAUACCAACAACAACAAUUGCAACAGUUUCUACCAGCGCUUAGUCAACUAGCCAUGGUGAACCCUGCCGCCUACCUACAACAGCAACAACUGCUUUCAUCUAGCCCUCUCGCUAUGGUUAAUGCACCUACAUACCUGCAACAACAGUUGUUGCAACAGAUUGUACCAGCUCUGACUCAGCUAGCUGUGGCAAACCCUGCUGCCUACUUGCAACAGCUGCUUCCAUUCAACCAACUGACUGUGUCGAACUCUGCUGCGUAC
This 17013-nucleotide long non-coding RNA is filed under the name Zea mays. RNAcentral's name for it is "long non-coding RNA (ZMAY_LNC002145)". Lineage: Eukaryota; Viridiplantae; Streptophyta; Magnoliopsida; Poales; Poaceae. The record is from RNAcentral.